CCUGCUUGGGAUUCUCUCUCUUCUUCUCUCUCUGUCCCUCCCCCGAAUGCAGGCGUGCUCUCUCCCUCUCUCUCGCAAAACAAAAAGAAAUUACUAAAGUACUACCUCACACUAUGCUUCCAUAUUGAAUACGCUGGUAAAAAGUACGGUCCCCUCCGGCUGCCCUUCUCCCCCGCAAAACCCCCAGGGCCCCUCUGUUGGGACAGAGCGCCCCCUUUGCAGCCAUCUGUAAGGAAAGGGGGGGCUGGCGGUCGCUGGUGCCCGCCAUGUGCCCACCGAGCGGACGUGGGUUAAUUCACUGCACAUCACCCACUGAGGAGGCCGGUGGCGAUCUGAAAGGGUGACCUGAGUCAUCCCUGGUCACGUGGCUAGUGAAGGUGGAGCCAACCUUGGUCACGUGGCUAGCGAGGGUGGGGCCAAGAGGCCACGCGGCUGACUUGCUGAGGAGCCAGUUUAUGGGCAGGUCACCUGACCAGAUGGGAGGUUACAGACCAGCCUAAAGUGCUCGUGCCUCGCUCCAGCUUUGAUGGUGGAGGCAUCUACUCCAAAGACGUCUCUCCGGUAAACACACGACUGGCCACGGAACUGGGUCCUGUAAGUAAGAAACUUUUAUUUCAAAGUUCCCUGAUGGUUGUUACUGAAGGACAUCUGCCACCAGAGCGAGAACCAGGCGGGCCCGUCCAACCACAGCACUGGUUACUGUUCCGCCGAGACCAGCCCGCAACAAUGACCCUGUCUGACCUUAUCUCCAAACGCCUUCACAAUCUAAGUAAAAGAGCAGUAGUUAAUUCCGGAAGCUGGACUCCGUGCUGAGACUAAAUCGCCACAUUCCCCACCCUUCGUUGUAGUUGGGGGGUAGCCACGUGAUCAAACCCCGGACAAAGAAAUUAAAAAGAAAGGAUGGGAGUAACACGGGGACACACGUCUUUUAAAGUGGCUUCUUCCUCCGGACACCUGGGUGGCUCGGCCGGUGUCCAGCUCAGGUCAUGAUCUCAAGGUCUGUGAAUUUGAGCCCCUCAUUGGGCUCUCUG
Long non-coding RNA from Herpailurus yagouaroundi (jaguarundi), 1031 nucleotides. RefSeq lists it as uncharacterized. Lineage: Eukaryota; Metazoa; Chordata; Mammalia; Carnivora; Felidae. The record is from RefSeq and is a predicted model, not a curated record. The transcript has 4 exons.